AUGGUAAAACAGGCGUUUAGGAGCUUCUCCAGGUUUCUGCAGAGCGCAGAGAGAGCAGCUUCUUUACAGCAGGAGGUUUUUGUACCACCACUGAACGAGUUUGUAUCACUGUGGAGCACUUUUGGUGGCGGCACAAAACUCGCAGUUGGACGUGACGCCCCGCCCACCCUCACGGUCCUGCCCCCCUCCAGUGUACAGCUGCAGCAGGAGAAGGUCACACUCGUGUGUCUGGCCAACAAGGGCUUCCCCUCAGACUGGAAGCUGAGCUGGAAGGUAGCUGGUAGCAGCUGGAGCUCGGGGGUGAGCCAGAGCUCCGGGCUUCUGCAGAAGGACGGCCUCUACAGCUGGAGCAGCACCCUGACCCUCCAGAAGGAGGAGUGGCUGAAGAAGACAGUGACCUGUGAGGCCACCAAGGACUCCCAGUCUCCUGUCACACAG
Molecule: non-coding RNA, 438 nt
Organism: Electrophorus electricus (electric eel)
Lineage: Eukaryota; Metazoa; Chordata; Actinopteri; Gymnotiformes; Gymnotidae
Source: the annotation of a RefSeq genome assembly